GCCAGCGUAGCUCAGAGGUAGAGCAACUGAUUCGUAAUCAGUUGGUCGCCCGUUCGAGUCGGGCCGCUGGCUCCA
This 75-nucleotide transfer RNA is filed under the name Caldisericota bacterium. RNAcentral describes it as "Caldiserica bacterium tRNA-Thr". It matches the Rfam family "tRNA". Rfam says of the family: Transfer RNA (tRNA) molecules are approximately 80 nucleotides in length. Their secondary structure includes four short double-helical elements and three loops (D, anti-codon, and T loops). RNAcentral also lists the same sequence under 2 other names. The record is from RNAcentral. Lineage: Bacteria; Pseudomonadati; Caldisericota.